UAGGGAAUUUUCCGCAAUGGGCGCAAGCCUGACGGAGCAACGCCGCGUGAGUGAAGACGGUCUUCGGAUUGUAAAGCUCUGUUCUCAGGGAAGAAACAAAUGACGGUACCUGAGCAGAAAGCCCCGGCUAACUACGUGCCAGCAGCCGCGGUAAUACGUAGGGGGCAAGCGUUGUCCGGAAUUAUUGGGCGUAAAGCGCGCGCAGGUGGUGGGUUAAGUUGUGGGUAAAAGGCAUUGGCUCAACCAAUGUAAGCCUGCAAAACUGGCACACUUGAGUGCAGGAGAGGGGAGUGGAAUUCCCGGUGUAGCGGUGGAAUGCGUAGAUAUCGGGAGGAACACCAGUGGCGAAGGCGACUCUCUGGCCUGUAACUGACACUGAGGCGCGAAAGCGUGGGUAGCGAACA
This 404-nucleotide ribosomal RNA is filed under the name uncultured Shimazuella sp. RNAcentral describes it as "bacterial SSU rRNA". It matches the Rfam family "Bacterial small subunit ribosomal RNA", at positions 355 to 774 of the family's 1533-position model. The record is from RNAcentral. Lineage: Bacteria; Bacillati; Bacillota; Bacilli; Caryophanales; Thermoactinomycetaceae.